UGAUGUGAGGGCCAUCUGCCUGUGACACCCGUCACCACACUGAGCUCCAGCCUUGAGUCAGCCCAUGUGGCUGCCCAAGCCCAUGUUCCCUUCCUCACCCAGCGCUCCAUAUGCAUCCCUCCCAAAGCUGCUGGGGCACAGAGGACGACCUCCCCGAUACAGACAGUACAUUUUAUCACUCAAGGCCAUUUGGCAGCUGUGCUCUCUGCUACAACCUCUGAACCAGCCCAAGGUACUAGGGCUGCAUUUCUAGGGCUUUCCCAGUAGUCAUAAAUAAAAUUUUGCACAAAAGAAGACUGAAAUAGGGUGCAAAAAU
Cyanistes caeruleus (blue tit) is the source of this 316-nucleotide unclassified non-coding RNA. Its record names the gene 7SK. It matches the Rfam family "7SK RNA". Rfam says of the family: 7SK was discovered as an abundant small nuclear RNA in the mid-70s but a possible function has only recently been suggested. Two independent studies have found that 7SK RNA binds the CDK9/cyclin T complex (known as elongation factor P-TEFb). Lineage: Eukaryota; Metazoa; Chordata; Aves; Passeriformes; Paridae. The record is from Ensembl.